This 457-nucleotide ribosomal RNA is filed under the name uncultured bacterium. RNAcentral's name for it is "bacterial SSU rRNA". It matches the Rfam family "Bacterial small subunit ribosomal RNA", at positions 340 to 786 of the family's 1533-position model. The record is from RNAcentral.
UACGGAAGGCAGCAGGGGGAAUAUUGCACAAUGGGCGCAAGCCUGAUGCAGCCAUGCCGCGUGUAUGAAGAAGGCCUUCGGGUUGUAAAGUACUUUCAGUCGUGAGGAAGGUGUUAAGGUUAAUAACCUUAGCAAUUGACGUUAGCGACAGAAGAAGCACCGGCUAACUCCGUGCCAGCAGCCGCGGUAAUACGGAGGGUGCGAGCGUUAAUCGGAAUUACUGGGCGUAAAGGGCACGCAGGCGGUUAAUUAAGUUGGAUGUGAAAUCCCCGGGCUUAACCUGGGAAUGGCAUUCAAGACUGGUUAGCUAGAGUCUUGUAGAGGGGGUAGAAUUCCAUGUGUAGCGGUGAAAUGCGUAGAGAUGUGGAGGAAUACCGGUGGCGGAAAGGCGGCCCCUGGACAAAGCUGGACGCUCAUGUGCGAAAAGCGGUGGGGAGCAAAACAGGGAUUAGAUACC